Molecule: non-coding RNA, 627 nt
Organism: Camelina sativa (false flax)
Lineage: Eukaryota; Viridiplantae; Streptophyta; Magnoliopsida; Brassicales; Brassicaceae
Source: RefSeq, a predicted model, not a curated record
CGGUGUCCAAGAAGCUUUCAUUGGUGGUCUCAUGGGAACACUUUCUCUCAUGCUGGCGUUGACCUUCAAGCCAUAGCUUCCAUGAAACAAGCUCAGGUUUAAUACACUCUCAUAUAUUUAUCCACAUCUUUCAAAAUAAGUUAAUGUUGUAAUUGAGGUAUGAGUGAAUUGAGAUCUGUAAUGAAACGGAUUAGAGACAAAGAAGAUAUUGAAUCUGCGUAAGUUUCAAUUCCUGUGAGCUGCUUCAUUCACUAAUAUUGUAAUCUCUUUGUAUUAGAUGUCUUGAUAAGUUUUUUUGUAAUUUGGGAUUAGUCUUAAGAGUUUAGUUAUCAUUAAGAAAAAAAUAUCGCAAAGCUUGGAUUGAGAUGCAGGGGAUCGGCUUUUAGCUGCUCUGUCCUUGGUUGCACAACUUGGGGCAGAGCUUGCCACGACUUUAGUGAUUGUUAUCUCAAAGGUGUGUACUAUAUACCGUUGUUUACACAGGCAGUUUUAUAUGAUGGUUGGUCUUGAUAUUGGCGAGCAUGACUUAGUAUUUUACGUGUUUCUCAUAGUGGAGAUAGAGGGGAUUAAUAUUAGAGAGAUGCUUACCGGUGCCAAAAUAAUGGAUGAGGCUACUAGAACAACUUC